RNAcentral lists this ribosomal RNA (322 nucleotides) under Escherichia coli. Its description in RNAcentral is "partial 23S ribosomal RNA". It matches the Rfam family "Bacterial large subunit ribosomal RNA", at positions 1372 to 1693 of the family's 2925-position model. Lineage: Bacteria; Pseudomonadati; Pseudomonadota; Gammaproteobacteria; Enterobacterales; Enterobacteriaceae. The record is from RNAcentral.
GGGCAGGGUGAGUCGACCCCUAAGGCGAGGCCGAAAGGCGUAGUCGAUGGGAAACGGGUUAAUAUUCCCGUACUUGGUGUUACUGCGAAGGGGGGACGAAGAAGGCUAGGCCGGCCGGGUGACGGUUAUCCCGGUUUAAGCGUGUAGGUGGAGUGAUUAGGUAAAUCCGAUUGCUUAUUAACACUGAGGCGUGAUGACGAGUCUCUACGGAGAUGAAGUGGUUGAUGCCCUGCUUCCAGGAAAAGCCUCUAAGCAUCAGGUAACAUUAAAUCGUACCCCAAACCGACACAGGUGGUCAGGUAGAGAAUACCAAGGCGCUUGA